AUGGGGGCACGACAGGAGGGGCACGUGGCACAGGUCCGGAGCCAGGCGUCGACGCAUGCGACAUGGAAGCCGUGGCCGCACCGUGGCAGCACGCGCAGGGCCUCCCCCUCCAUGUACUCCGCCAGGCAGAUCGCACAUUCUGACGACGAGCCUGUCGCAGGCGUCGGAGAAGGCCCGUUGGCGACGAAGGAGACGGUGGGGAGCGCGUGGAUAACUUUCUUCUUGAGGCCCUUCGGGGGAGGAGGAGCGUCAUCGAAUGAUGAGGCCGAGCGGCGGCGACGGCACGUGCACCGGGAGAUGAGGGCGAGGCCGAGGACGCAGACGAGCGCACAUAGCAACGACGCUAGGAUGAGCACCAUGUCCGAGUUGACCGCCAUCGGAGGCGCCGUCUGCUGCUGCUGCUCAGGUGCCUUCAUACUCACCGGCGACGACGAUGGCUCGCCCGGGCCACUGUUCGCGAGGGCCGCGCGGUGCAGGAGGUUCGCCGGAGCGCGCAUGAUGUGUGAACUCUGGACUAUUUAUCUAGCUUAUCUUUGA
RNAcentral lists this ribosomal RNA (537 nucleotides) under Triticum aestivum (bread wheat). RNAcentral's name for it is "partial small subunit ribosomal RNA". The record is from RNAcentral. Lineage: Eukaryota; Viridiplantae; Streptophyta; Magnoliopsida; Poales; Poaceae.